Molecule: ribosomal RNA, 1085 nt
Filed under: Serratia liquefaciens
Lineage: Bacteria; Pseudomonadati; Pseudomonadota; Gammaproteobacteria; Enterobacterales; Yersiniaceae
Description: bacterial SSU rRNA
Rfam family: Bacterial small subunit ribosomal RNA
Source: RNAcentral
CGGGAGUUGGAAAAAAGCCCUUUCGGGUUUGUAAAUCUCUUUUCAUUUCGAGGAAGGAAAGGGUUUURUGUUAAUAGCUCUUUCCCAUUUACGUUACUUGCAGCAGAAGCCCCGGCUUAACUCCGUUCCAGCAGCCCGGUUAUACGUAGGUGCAACGUUUAUUCGGAAUUUUUGGGCGUAAAGCGCACGCAGGCGGGUUUUUUUAAGUCAGAUGUGAAAUCCCCCCGCUUCACCGGGGGAGGUGCAUUUGGAAACUGGGAAGCUAGAGUCUUGUAGAGGGGGGGGUAGAAUUUCCAGGUGUAGCGGUGAAAUGCGUAGAGAUUUGGAGGGAACCCGGUGGCGAAGGCGGCCCUUUUGGUCAAAGACUGACGCUCAGGUGCGAAAACGUGGGGAGCAAACAGGAUUAGAUACCCUGGUAGUCCACCCCGUAAACGAUGUCGACUUGGAGGUUGUGCCCUUGAGGCGUGUCUUCCGGAGCUAACGCGUUAAGUCGACCCCCUGGGGAGUACGGCCCCAAGGUUAAAACUCAAAUGAAUUUACGGGGGGCCGCACAAGCGGUGGAGCAUGUGGUUUAAUUCGAUGCAACGCGAAGAACCUUUCCUACUCUUGACAUCCAGAGAAUUCGCUAGAGAUAAUUAGUUCCUUCGGGAACUCUGAGACAGGUGCUGCAUGGCUGUCGUCAACUCGUGUUGUGAAAUGUUGGGUUAAGUCCCCCAACGAGCGCAACCCUUAUCCUUUGUUGCCAGCCCGUAAUGGCGGGAACUCAAAGGAGACUGCCGGUGAUAAACCGGAGGAAGGUGGGGAUGACGUCAAGUCAUCAUGCCCCUUACGAGUAGGGCUACACACGUGCUACAAUGGCGUAUACAAAGAGAAGCGAACUCGCGAGAGCAAGCGGUCCUCAUAAAGUACUUCGUAGUCCGGAUCGGAGUCUGCAACUCGCCUCCGUGAAGUCGGAAUCGCUAGUAAUCGUAGAUCAGAAUGCUCCGGUGAAUACGUUCCCGGCCCUUGUACACACCGCCCGUCACCCCAUGGGAGUGGGUUGCAAAAGAAGUAGGUAGGUUACCCUUCGGGAGGGCGCUUCCCCA